AUCCAAAUUAGCAAUUUCCAAAAAUAUUUCUCUUUCAUUGUGUACUAGAACCCUAGCUAGCAGCAUUUCCUCCACUGCUGCCUUGUGCGGGCUCCCAACGUAAAUAACACGCGUUUCCUUCUCUCUCAAAUUUCAGGUUAAAUUCCGGCUGCCCCUUUUUUAUCUUCCCAUUAUUUUUUCAGAUAUUUAUAAUCAUCUUACUCGUUCCCAGCACACGCCUCUCUCCAAAUUUCCCCAAUUUUUCCUAAGUUUCCCCAGUUCUACAAGCGAUCAAUCAAUCAAUCCAUCUGAGGUAGUAGAAAAAGCAAAAGGAGAGAGAGAUGUCGGAUCAGAGGUUGACACGUAUAGCUAUUGUGAGCUCCGACAAGUGUAAGCCGAAGAAGUGCCGUCAGGAGUGCAAGAAGAGCUGUCCCGUCGUCAAAACUGGGAAACUUUGUAUUGAGGUGACUCCUGCAUCUAAGAUCGCUUUCAUCUCAGAAGAGUUGUGUAUUGGCUGCGGUAUUUGCGUUAAG
Non-coding RNA from Coffea arabica (coffee), 512 nucleotides. Lineage: Eukaryota; Viridiplantae; Streptophyta; Magnoliopsida; Gentianales; Rubiaceae. The record is from RefSeq and is a predicted model, not a curated record.